UAGGGAAUCUUCCACAAUGGACGAAAGUCUGAUGGAGCAACGCCGCGUGAGUGAAGAAGGGUUUCGGCUCGUAAAACUCUGUUGUUAAAGAAGAACAUAUCUGAGAGUAACUGUUCAAUGUGUGACGGUAUCUUACCAGAAAGGAACGGCUAAAUACGUGCCAC
RNAcentral lists this ribosomal RNA (164 nucleotides) under uncultured bacterium. RNAcentral describes it as "partial 16S rRNA". It matches the Rfam family "Bacterial small subunit ribosomal RNA", at positions 355 to 511 of the family's 1533-position model. The record is from RNAcentral.